UCCAUUUCCCUCCUUUUUGAUAGCGUAGUAACUAUUUCCCCUCUAUGUUCUCUUCUCUUCUCUUUUCUUUUUUUGUCAAUCAUUUUCUUUCUCUUUCCCUAUUUCCUCGAUCUCUCUUGCUUCGAACUUUGAACUAUGGAGUUUCCUUCUUAAGGUGUAAAUCGUCAAUGUGAUCAUGUUAACUUUCACAAGGAUGUCCAUCAAAUUUAUUCCUCUUGAUCAUUUGUAUUAAAUGAUGCUUUAGUUUGAAAUUAUCCGCACAAAAGUCAGGUUUGACGAUGCAGAGAAUAGUUGAUUGGGUGAACGAUGGCGUGCCCACACGGAUAACUCGCAAUUCUGCCUCAGAACACCUUCAGUAACAGGUGUUCUAUACACUUUGUUUAGCUUCUCAUAUUUCUUGAGAGAAAAAGCAGUAAAAUUCCACUUUCUGGUGUACAUACUAACUGCUUGAGGAAGGAAUACAUGGUCUUCUUUCCUUCCGUUCUCUAAGCAAUACACCAUUUGAGCCAAAAAAAGUUAAUUUUGUGUGGAAAGUUUUCGUAACCACUGCAUGAUGGAGGAUCCACAGGGAAUUGCUGAUCAAAGAUGGAAUUCUGAAUCGGCCAGUGUAAGCUCUCAGAGAAUUGCAGCCAAAGUUGUUUCCAUACCAAAGAAUUUGACACAGAAAUCUAUCAAUCAUGUUGAUUUGAAGGAUCGUGCAAUAAGAGGAGUUGCUGGCGAUGUUGCAUUUUUCUUAUUAAAAGUUGCUGCUUUAGAAACUACAAGGAGGCUUUCAAGUGCUAAGUACCCAUUUGCUUAGCGUAGUCUUCAGGCAUUCCAAAUGGGUUCGCAGAUGGGCUCCUUUCAAAGGAUUGUUCAUGGUAUGCAGGUAUGCAUGUUAUGUUGCUCGGUGCACAAGUUGUGUUCCUCAUCUGACUAAUGAUAAUGAAACAUAAUUUACAAAGUCUUGUCUUGUGUUAUCAGUAUACUGUUUAAAGUGUCAAUGUAACACCCACUAUUUUAUGAUGUCAUUAAUUAUUAUUAUAAUCGAUUUUAGAGAUUUUAUAAUUAUAUUAAAUUAUUUUGAGUUAGUUUUAAUAAAUUUCUUUCAUAUACGAAUUUAAAUAUUUACAUUAAAAAAAAAGAUCUGCGAUUACUAUAAUAAAGAGAUUCGAAUCAAAAUUAUUGUUUAAUAAAAUUUGUGAGCACACGAAGGUGAGUUUUCUAUGUUGGGCCUUGCAAAAAGAUGAAUCUUUAUAAAUAAAUAAAUAAAAUAAAAAGGAUGAGUUAGGGUUUUGAGUGGGUAUUACUCCUUUCCUCGCUCAAAAAAAAAAAGCACGCCUCUUUCGUCCCUCUCAUCUUCUCUCCUCUUCUCUCCCCCUCAAUCAUGUGCCUCCUUCACCUCCACUAGAACAGCCGCCACUUUCGCCUCCCUCAAACAGCAACUGGCGUGGCCUCCUCCACUAGUCCAGCCACGCCUGCUUCCCCACGUGCAGCACCGGCAGUAGCAGCCCGCUUUUACCCUCCAACAGCAGCCACAAGCUGCGUUUGAACCCAGCUGUGUUUGCCGCCAGCAAGCAGCGGCUGAAGCAGCCGAUUUUGUCCUCCCUCCACCGUCAACGAAGCUCCUGCGCCACCACCACAACCUCCACUUGCCCUUCACCUAUUUUUUUUCUUCUAGUUUCACCUUAGUAAGCUAUCUCUUCUUCCCCUAUUUUGAUUUUCUUGUUUCUUAUUGGAAUUUAUCAAGGUUAUGGGUUGUGUGUUGAUUUUGUGUUAUUUUAUUGAAUCUUAUUAUGGGUAGUAGCUAAAGGUGUUUUCUUUGAACAUGAUUUGAUUAGGGUUUGAUUUAGGGAUAAAAUUAUUAAUGGUGUGUGCUUUUAUGCUACAUUUGGUGGUGUAAUGAUUGAUUGGAUAACCUUAUAAAUUGUCUUAAGACUUAGUUUGGUUGAUUAUUGUUGUGAUAGUGAUAAUUAGUAUUGGUUAUGAUUGUAGUUGACUAUGGAAGUGAUUUUGGUUGUUAAUUGGGAAUAAUAGUUGUUAAUUGUUGUCGUUUGAUUGUUGUUGAUUACAAAUACUCUUGUUAGGUUGUUAUUGAAGUUAUAGAUAAGGUCAUGAGUAUAGUGCCAACUUAUCGUUGAUGGUUGCUGAAGAUACUUGUGAUGAUUUGAUUGUAGUUUUUCUAGCUAUGGAGAAUGUAAUGAAUGAUAUUGCGAUGUGAUAACUUUAAGAUUUGUGAUUAUCAUCAUACUAGUGUCAUAUUAACAUUGUAAGAUUUAAGCGUGAUUUGUUAUAUUUUAGAAGUAACGUGAAUCAAUAUAACUCACAUUUAGUUGAUGUAAAAGAACGAUUCACAUAACGCUUCUAUUCUUAAAGUGAUGGAAAGACUUGCGUCGUUGUUAAGUUGAUGAUUAUGAUUAUGUUGAAUGAUGUGUGCGUGCUAGAGUAAUUGGAGACUUAUCUUGAAUGGAUUAAAGUGGUUUGGCAUUUAGUUGGUAUGACAAAGUAGAUAAGUGGACUUAUUAGUUAUACUCUUAACUUAUAUAGAUGCUCAUUUCAUAAGAGGAAGGUAGAAUUUUAGUUGGGUGAUUUUUGUGACUUUUUGGUCGUGCAAUGACGCUUACAGGUACAUACACGCAGUAACUAACCCUUAUAUGCAAUUUGCUUUAAGACAUUGUUUAUUGUGAUAAUAUGCAUUAUAUAGAAACUAUGAGGUACUAGUGAGUACACUUUAUAUGAAGAGCUAUCGAUUUUGAAAUCCUUGCGCUUAAAAUAGUUUAGAGAAUGAAAGUGUUAGUAGAAGGCGGGGACCACCCCCUUAUCUAUUUAAGAAUUGGAUUAUGUCUUACUUGGAGUUAGAAUGACUACUUUAUAGGUGAAUUUCAUAUUUUAUUUGAGUUGUUCAGUGAGUCUAUAAUCCCAGGGUACUCAUUAAUAGUAGAAAUCGGGAAUUAUUCCCAUUUGAUAAAGCAUUAGAUUAUGAUUAGCUGGCGUGACUCAGCUGGAUUAUGUCCGGUUGAUUUAAUAGUCCCCUAAGUGAGAUCCGACGGGAUCACCAUAUGGGGGGUAUGAGCAUACUUUUGUCAUUGGGCGCCGGGUGGCCGAUACUGCCCCUUGACCGAGGUGUUACCAUGCGGGCUUUGCAAACCCUAAUAUGGUGGCCUCUUCACUGGAUUGGCAGUGUCUUAUAUUUUUCUCGAAGGUAGGAUCCAAGAGGGUCAGCUGGGGGUAUGAGCUCAUACUUUGCCAUGGGCACCGGAUGGCCGAUAACGCUCUUGGCCUUGUCACUAUGCCAUGAAGUAGAGAAAAAAUCCACUGAUAGAAAGUUACUCAAUGAUAGAAAACUUAUUCAUUGAUCGAAAGUAUUUAAUGAUAGAAAGUUAUUCGUUGAUAGAAAGUUUACACAUUGAUAGAAAAUUUACUCGUUGAUAGAAUAGUUUAUGCUAGUGAGAAGUGUGCCUAAGUUGAGUUACCUCAAGGGAGUUACCAAUCCAAAAGAUAGACUAUGAUCACACUUACUUUAGGAUAGACAAGCUCUAUACGGUCAUGUGUUAGGUAGUCUGUAAAUGCCUUGGUUGAGUUGAUACUACGUGUGUUUUACAAGAGUUUAUGUUUUGAGAAGAGGAGUGUGGAGACCUGCAUUCUACUCAAGAACACAUGGUUCAGGUUGGAAAGGACGUAAUGAGAUUAAGAAGUAUAUGUGGACGAUAAGCGGUUACUAUUUGUGCUUGUGUCUUAUGAAAUCAUCUUAUGUUGUUGUAUAACAUGAUGUUAUCUAGUAGGUUGGCCUUAUUAUAUUUGAUGUUAGUUACUGACGUGUAUGUGUUUGUGUUUAUGUUUGAUUGUUUGAUGAAUUUCUAUGAUUGUCCUGGUAUGACACAUUGGCCUUUGGUCUAAUGUCGAGCAGCAGGAAGAUCAUAGACAGGCGUAGCAGGUAUUGGAGCUUCUUUUGCAUUGCAUUGCAUUGAGGGAGAGUAAUGAGGGCGCAGCAUAACCUGUGUCAUACCAUCAUCUUUUGACCUUAUAGGUAUUAAUUAUCUUUUGUAAACUUUGGUUUGUAUACGUUUCGUUACGCGGCCUUGUGUCCUCCUUUGUAUGUUUGUCUUUCCCUUGCGUAGUUUAUAACUUUGCAUUGUUCUAAAAAGUUAAGUCAUUUUAAAAUGCAAGCGUUGACACUGGAACCACGAUCCAUGCUUGGCAUGUUGAUUUGAGAAGCCGACGUUGAAUCAUUCCGCCGUGAGAUUUUAAAGGCAAUGAUGCCUUAGAUUAAUUUAAUGUUUUUUUUUAUUGUGCUAAUUGCUCUACCACAUGUUUGAUUUUUAGUAGAGAUGUUGCCGAAAUUUCUACUCAUAAUUUCUUUUAAAAUUUAAUAUUAUCUUAUUUAUUUUAUUUUAAUGUUACACCCGAAUUUCCUCCUAUCUUUUGCGGUUUUGGUUUUGUAUAAGGCUUGGCAAUUCAGGGGUGUUACAGUCAAUGCUACUUCUCUCUCUUCCCCCCUUGAGCAAUUUUUAUUAUAUGUUUUUUCAGAAGUUCUCACGACCAUUGUUAGUUCUCUCCAUAGUUGAAUCUUUUUCAGAAAUAUCAGAUCAGGCAAAUGUUGCAAAUGAUCCUCAUGGUUAUCAUUUAUUUGAGAACCUGAAUGAAGAUGCAUCCUCUGUGCAGCCUUACGUUGAUGUAAGAAACAAUGAUGUCAUUCCUAGUUCUUCGUCAUCAGAGGAGUGGUCGCAUAAAUUUCACGAAGAGCUGAUAAGGCAAGGGGAUUGAUGAGAGUGAGCUGCGAAGAUUUUACAGUGCUGCAAAUGGUGACUUUUCACGCCUGCUUUCAUCAGUCAAGAAGACAAUUCUUUGGAGAGAAACGUACCACAUUCUCUCAGAACAGGACCUUAAGGGGUGGUCAGAUUUCGUUUUCUGGCAUGGCUAUGAUAAUAGGAACAGUCCUUGUCUGAUUGUGCAUCUUGGUGUAGCUUGCACCAGUCUGCCAAAUAAAGAUCGACCUCGAUUUGCCCAGUGUCUCAGAUGGAGCAUGGUAUCCUGCAUUUAGCUGAUCGUGAAUGUCCUCGAGUUAUGGUUUUAGUAGACUGUGAAGGUUUUUCUCCUUUAAGACUUCCAAUGCAGAUGAGAAGAUCAUGUGCUCUGCCUUUUCAAGAUAAUUUUCCACUGUCUUGGCAGUUUAUAUGUCAUACGGCUUCCUCCUGUAAUACGGAUGAUGCUGCAAACUCUUAUGAAAGUUCUAAAUCCUGUUACUCAACAAAAGCUGAAAUUUUUUGGACAACAGUACCAAGAUAUUCUAUCCGAAUUUUUAGAGGAACUUCCAGCAUGUUUGGAUGGUAAAUGCAUGUGCAAUAUGUUCAAGUCCAAUUUCUAAUUACUCGACAUUCUUCUACGGAAGUGGCAAAUCAACUACUUACAAAUUAACUACUUUGCGACAAUGUUGAUCUUAAUUAUCUUAGAUCUGAGAUUGACAUCCAUCCUAGUUUCGAUCAGGGGCUAAUAAGAACUUGCAUGAUUGGAAUCCUUAUCAUGUGUGUACUCUUUGCUCUCUUGGCGGGAUUAUCUGACACGGAACUGGCCAAGCUUGUUCAUGUGAGGUAACAAUAAGCUUUAUAUGUUAAAACUGCAAGCCCAUUUCUUUUCAUUAAGAUAUCAGAAAUGCCCAUUAUUGCUUUCAGUAUGUUAUUCUGGAAUGUGCUGGAAGUAAGAAGUUCCUUCUCGUGUGAUAUUAUUUCCGUACUUGUCUAUCAUUUACAUCUACAUAUUUAAUAUAACGAACUGCUACAAUUUGUAAUACUCAUCCCAUUGGCCAUUUAUCUUCUAUGUUGUGGUUAUUAGAUGAGGAUGUGGAGGUGUUUACUUGUAUCGAGUGCCAUCUAAAUAUAUAUAUGUUUCCUUUUUUUAGAAAGUGU
Long non-coding RNA from Amaranthus tricolor (Joseph's coat), 5882 nucleotides. RefSeq lists it as uncharacterized. The transcript has 7 exons. NCBI's taxonomy places the organism in Eukaryota, Viridiplantae, Streptophyta, Magnoliopsida, Caryophyllales, Amaranthaceae. The record is from RefSeq and is a predicted model, not a curated record.